RNAcentral lists this small RNA (108 nucleotides) under Pseudomonas sp. M47T1. Lineage: Bacteria; Pseudomonadati; Pseudomonadota; Gammaproteobacteria; Pseudomonadales; Pseudomonadaceae. The record is from RNAcentral.
CACAGGUGAAGCGCAGGAAGCGCCUCAGUCACGGAUGACAGGUCAGCACGGAUGCACUUCGACAGGACGUUGAAGGGCCACAAAAGAACCCGCUUCGGCGGGUUUUUU